AUACGUAGGGGGCGAGCGUUGUCCGGAAUGAUUGGGCGUAAAGGGCGCGUAGGCGGCGCGGUAAGUCUGGAGUGAAAGUCCUGCUUUCAAGGUGGGAAUUGCUUUGGAUACUGCCGCGCUUGAGUGCAGGAGAGGUUAUCGGAAUUCCCGGUGUAACGGUGAAAUGCGUAGAGAUCGGGAGGAACACCAGUGGCGAAGGCGGGUAACUGGACUGCAACUGACGCUGAGGCGCGAAAGUGUGGGGAGCAAACAGGAUUAGAUACCCUGGUAGUCCACACUGUAAACGAUGAAUGCUAGGUGUAAGAGGUAUCGACCCCUUUUGUGCCGGAGUCAACACAAUAAGCAUUCCGCCUGGGGAGUACGGCCGCAAGGUUGAAACUCAAAGGAAUUGACGGGG
This 397-nucleotide ribosomal RNA is filed under the name uncultured bacterium. RNAcentral's name for it is "partial 16S ribosomal RNA". It matches the Rfam family "Bacterial small subunit ribosomal RNA", at positions 523 to 918 of the family's 1533-position model. The record is from RNAcentral.